Molecule: ribosomal RNA, 310 nt
Filed under: uncultured bacterium
Lineage: Bacteria
Description: partial 16S ribosomal RNA
Rfam family: Bacterial small subunit ribosomal RNA
Source: RNAcentral
AAGAGACAGCAGUCGCCACGGUAAUACAGAGGGUGCGAGCGUUAAUCGGAUUUACUGGGCGUAAAGCGUGCGUAGGCGGCUUUUUAAGUCGGAUGUGAAAUCCCUGAGCUUAACUUAGGAAUUGCAUUCGAUACUGGGAAGCUAGAGUAUGGGAGAGGAUGGUAGAAUUCCAGGUGUAGCGGUGAAAUGCGUAGAGAUCUGGAGGAAUACCGAUGGCGAAGGCAGCCAUCUGGCCUAAUACUGACGCUGAGGUACGAAAGCAUGGGGAGCAAACAGGAUUAGAUACCCCUGUAGUCCCUGUCUCUUAUAC